UUAAGCGACUAAGCGUACACGGUGGAUGCCCUGGCAGUCAGAGGCGAUGAAGGACGUGCUAAUCUGCGAUAAGCGUCGGUAAGGUGAUAUGAACCGUUAUAACCGGCGAUUUCCGAAUGGGGAAACCCAGUGUGAUUCGUCACACUAUCAUUAACUGAAUCCAUAGGUUAAUGAGGCGAACCGGGGGAACUGAAACAUCUAAGUACCCCGAGGAAAAGAAAUCAACCGAGAUUCCCCCAGUAGCGGCGAGCGAACGGGGAGCAGCCCAGAGCCUGAAUCAGUGUGUGUGUUAGUGGAAGCGUCUGGAAAGGCGCGCGAUACAGGGUGACAGCCCCGUACACAAAAAUGCACAUACUGUGAGCUCGAUGAGUAGGGCGGGACACGUGGUAUCCUGUCUGAAUAUGGGGGGACCAUCCUCCAAGGCUAAAUACUCCUGACUGACCGAUAGUGAACCAGUACCGUGAGGGAAAGGCGAAAAGAACCCCGGCGAGGGGAGUGAAAAAGAACCUGAAACCGUGUACGUACAAGCAGUGGGAGCACAGAGCAAUCUGUGUGACUGCGUACCUUUUGUAUAAUGGGUCAGCGACUUAUAUUCUGUAGCAAGGUUAACCGAAUAGGGGAGCCGAAGGGAAACCGAGUCUUAACUGGGCGUUAAGUUGCAGGGUAUAGACCCGAAACCCGGUGAUCUAGCCAUGGGCAGGUUGAAGGUUGGGUAACACUAACUGGAGGACCGAACCGACUAAUGUUGAAAAAUUAGCGGAUGACUUGUGGCUGGGGGUGAAAGGCCAAUCAAACCGGGAGAUAGCUGGUUCUCCCCGAAAGCUAUUUAGGUAGCGCCUCGUGAAUUCAUCUCUGGGGGUAGAGCACUGUUUCGGCAAGGGGGUCAUCCCGACUUACCAACCCGAUGCAAACUGCGAAUACCGGAGAAUGUUAUCACGGGAGACACACGGCGGGUGCUAACGUCCGUCGUGAAGAGGGAAACAACCCAGACCGCCAGCUAAGGUCCCAAAGUCAUGGUUAAGUGGGAAACGAUGUGGGAAGGCCCAGACAGCCAGGAUGUUGGCUUAGAAGCAGCCAUCAUUUAAAGAAAGCGUAAUAGCUCACUGGUCGAGUCGGCCUGCGCGGAAGAUGUAACGGGGCUAAACCAUGCACCGAAGCUGCGGCAGCGACGCUGAUGCGUUGUUGGGUAGGGGAGCGUUCUGUAAGCCUGUGAAGGUGUGCUGUGAGGCAUGCUGGAGGUAUCAGAAGUGCGAAUGCUGACAUAAGUAACGAUAAAGCGGGUGAAAAGCCCGCUCGCCGGAAGACCAAGGGUUCCUGUCCAACGUUAAUCGGGGCAGGGUGAGUCGACCCCUAAGGCGAGGCCGAAAGGCGUAGUCGAUGGGAAACAGGUUAAUAUUCCUGUACUUGGUGUUACUGCGAAGGGGGGACGGAGAAGGCUAUGUUGGCCGGGCGACGGUUGUCCCGGUUUAAGCGUGUAGGCUGGUUUUCCAGGCAAAUCCGGAAAAUCAAGGCUGAGGCGUGAUGACGAGGCACUACGGUGCUGAAGCAACAAAUGCCCUGCUUCCAGGAAAAGCCUCUAAGCAUCAGGUAACAUCAAAUCGUACCCCAAACCGACACAGGUGGUCAGGUAGAGAAUACCAAGGCGCUUGAGAGAACUCGGGUGAAGGAACUAGGCAAAAUGGUGCCGUAACUUCGGGAGAAGGCACGCUGAUAUGUAGGUGAAGUCCCUCGCGGAUGGAGCUGAAAUCAGUCGAAGAUACCAGCUGGCUGCAACUGUUUAUUAAAAACACAGCACUGUGCAAACACGAAAGUGGACGUAUACGGUGUGACGCCUGCCCGGUGCCGGAAGGUUAAUUGAUGGGGUUAGCGCAAGCGAAGCUCUUGAUCGAAGCCCCGGUAAACGGCGGCCGUAACUAUAACGGUCCUAAGGUAGCGAAAUUCCUUGUCGGGUAAGUUCCGACCUGCACGAAUGGCGUAAUGAUGGCCAGGCUGUCUCCACCCGAGACUCAGUGAAAUUGAACUCGCUGUGAAGAUGCAGUGUACCCGCGGCAAGACGGAAAGACCCCGUGAACCUUUACUAUAGCUUGACACUGAACAUUGAGCCUUGAUGUGUAGGAUAGGUGGGAGGCUUUGAAGUGUGGACGCCAGUCUGCAUGGAGCCGACCUUGAAAUACCACCCUUUAAUGUUUGAUGUUCUAACGUUGACCCGUAAUCCGGGUUGCGGACAGUGUCUGGUGGGUAGUUUGACUGGGGCGGUCUCCUCCUAAAGAGUAACGGAGGAGCACGAAGGUUGGCUAAUCCUGGUCGGACAUCAGGAGGUUAGUGCAAUGGCAUAAGCCAGCUUGACUGCGAGCGUGACGGCGCGAGCAGGUGCGAAAGCAGGUCAUAGUGAUCCGGUGGUUCUGAAUGGAAGGGCCAUCGCUCAACGGAUAAAAGGUACUCCGGGGAUAACAGGCUGAUACCGCCCAAGAGUUCAUAUCGACGGCGGUGUUUGGCAC
This 2498-nucleotide ribosomal RNA is filed under the name metagenome. Its description in RNAcentral is "bacterial LSU rRNA". It matches the Rfam family "Bacterial large subunit ribosomal RNA", at positions 1 to 2524 of the family's 2925-position model. The record is from RNAcentral.